CCUACGGGAGGCAGCAGUAAGGAAUAUUGCGCAAUGGGCGAAAGCCUGACGCAGCCACGUCGCGUGAAGGAAGACACCCCUACGGGGCGUAAACUUCUUUUAUAUGGGAAGAAGAUCCUGGUCGCCAGGAUUUGACGGUACCAUACGAAUAAGCACCGGCUAACUCCGUGCCAGCAGCCGCGGU
RNAcentral lists this ribosomal RNA (184 nucleotides) under uncultured bacterium. RNAcentral's name for it is "partial 16S ribosomal RNA". It matches the Rfam family "Bacterial small subunit ribosomal RNA", at positions 338 to 521 of the family's 1533-position model. The record is from RNAcentral.